RNAcentral lists this ribosomal RNA (216 nucleotides) under uncultured fungus. RNAcentral's name for it is "partial small subunit ribosomal RNA". The stretch from base 47 to 216 matches the Rfam family "Eukaryotic small subunit ribosomal RNA", at positions 693 to 864 of the family's 1831-position model. The record is from RNAcentral. Lineage: Eukaryota; Fungi.
GGAUCAACACGUCGGUCGUGCCUUCGGUAUGAACUGGCGUCGUUGGUUUCUCCCUUCUGACGAACCAAGAUGUCAUUAAGUUGGUGUUUUGGGGAGUUAGGACUGUUACUUUGAAAAAAUUAGAGUGUUUAAAGCAGGCAAACGCUUGAAUACAUUAGCAUGGAAUAAUGAAAUAGGACGUUCGAUCCUAUUUCGUUGGUUUCUAGGAUCAACGUA